GAUGAACGCUAGCUACAGGCUUAACACAUGCAAGUCGAGGGACCGGCGCACGGGUGAGUAACACAUAUCCAACCUGCCCUUUACUCGGGGAUAGCCUUUCGAAAGAAAGAUUAAUACCCGAUAUAAAGGAUGGGGAUGCGUUCCAUUAGUUUGUUGGUGAGGUAACGGCUAACAAAGCCUUCGAUGGAUAGGGGUUCUGAGAGGAAGGUCCACCACAUUGGAACUGAGACACGGUCCAAACUCGUACGGGAGGCAGCAGUGAGGAAUAUUGGUCAAGGGGCGCUAGCCUGAACCAGCCAAGUAGCGGGAAGGAGGAAGGCUUAGGAGUCGUAAAGUUCUGUUAUAUAAGAAGAUGUAUUAGAUGAAUAAGGAUCGGCUAACUCCGUGCCAGCAGCCGCGGUAAUUC
This 406-nucleotide ribosomal RNA is filed under the name uncultured bacterium. Its description in RNAcentral is "partial 16S ribosomal RNA". It matches the Rfam family "Bacterial small subunit ribosomal RNA", at positions 28 to 526 of the family's 1533-position model. The record is from RNAcentral.